GACGAACGCUGGCGGCGUGCCUAACACAUGCAAGUCGAACGGAAAGGCCCUGCUCUUGUGGGGUGCUCGAGUGGCGAACGGGUGAGUAACACGUGAGUAACCUGCCCUUGUCUUUGGGAUAACUUCAGGAAACUGGGGCUAAUAUAGGAUAGGAGCUCCUGCUGCAUGGGGGGGGUUGGAAAGUUUCGGCGGUUGGGGCUGGACUCGCGGCUUAUGAGCUUGUUGGUGGGGUAGUGGCGUACCAAGGCUUUGACGGGUAGGCGGCCUGGGAGGGUGACCGGCCUCAUUGGGACUGCGGUACGCCGCAGUCUCCUACGGGCGGCAGCAGUGGGGAGUAUUGCACAGCGGGCGCGCGCCUGAUGCGGCGACGCCGCGUGCGUGAUGCCGUCCUUCGGGUUGAGAACCGCUUUCGCCUGUGACGAAGCGUGAGUGACGGUAAUGGGUAAAGAAGCACCGGCUAACUACGUG
This 468-nucleotide ribosomal RNA is filed under the name uncultured bacterium. RNAcentral's name for it is "partial 16S ribosomal RNA". It matches the Rfam family "Bacterial small subunit ribosomal RNA", at positions 28 to 507 of the family's 1533-position model. The record is from RNAcentral.